Molecule: ribosomal RNA, 418 nt
Filed under: Staphylococcus aureus
Lineage: Bacteria; Bacillati; Bacillota; Bacilli; Caryophanales; Staphylococcaceae
Description: partial 23S ribosomal RNA
Rfam family: Bacterial large subunit ribosomal RNA
Source: RNAcentral
AUCUCCCCCAAGAGUUCACAUCGACGGGGAGGUUUGGCACCUCGAUGUCGGCUCAUCGCAUCCUGGGGCUGUAGUCGGUCCCAAGGGUUGGGCUGUUCGCCCAUUAAAGCGGUACGCGAGCUGGGUUCAGAACGUCGUGAGACAGUUCGGUCCCUAUCCGUCGUGGGCGUAGGAAAUUUGAGAGGAGCUGUCCUUAGUACGAGAGGACCGGGAUGGACAUACCUCUGGUGUACCAGUUGUCGUGCCAACGGCAUAGCUGGGUAGCUAUGUGUGGACGGGAUAAGUGCUGAAAGCAUCUAAGCAUGAAGCCCCCCUCAAGAUGAGAUUUCCCAACUUCGGUUAUAAGAUCCCUCAAAGAUGAUGAGGUUAAUAGGUUCGAGGUGGAAGCAUGGUGACAUGUGGAGCUGACGAAUACUAA